CGUAGGGUAGUAUAAAAAAUACUCUUUGCUUACACCAAAGUACUGGCUACAAACCUCCUAUGAC
RNAcentral lists this transfer RNA (64 nucleotides) under Anodonta anatina. RNAcentral's name for it is "tRNA-Val". Lineage: Eukaryota; Metazoa; Mollusca; Bivalvia; Unionida; Unionidae. The record is from RNAcentral.